CCAAUAGCGUAUAUUAAAGUUGUUGCAGUUAAAAAGCUCGUAGUUGAACUUCAGGCCUGUCCAGACGGUCCGCCUUAAUUGGUGUGUACUGUCCUUGGGUGGGUCCUACCUUCUGGCGAAGCGGCAUGGCCUUAAUUGGUUGUGUCGGGGAACCAGGACUUUUACUGUGAAAAAAUUAGAGUGUUCAAAGCAGGCAAAUAUGCUCGAAUACAUUAGCAUGGAAUAAUGGAAUAGGACGAUGGUUCUAUUUUGUUGGUUCUAGGACCGUUGUAAUGAUUAAUAGGGAUAGUUGGGGGCAUUAGUAUUUAAUUGUCAGAGGUGAAAUUCUUGGAUUUAUUGAAGACUAACUACUGCGAAAGCAUUUGCCAAGGAUGUUUUCAUUAAUCAAGAACGAAAGUUAGGGGAUCGAAGACGAUCAGAUACCGUCGUAGUCUUAACCAUAAACUAUGCCGACUAGGAAUCGGGCGAUGUUGACAAAAUGACUCGCUCGGCACCUCAUG
This 500-nucleotide ribosomal RNA is filed under the name uncultured Glomeromycotina. RNAcentral describes it as "partial small subunit ribosomal RNA". It matches the Rfam family "Eukaryotic small subunit ribosomal RNA", at positions 591 to 1092 of the family's 1831-position model. The record is from RNAcentral. Lineage: Eukaryota; Fungi; Glomeromycota.